GGAUGAGGGCAAAGACGCUCCAGGCGCUCGUCUCCGUAGCCGCCAUCUUGGAUAGGGGUAAUUUCCUCCCAACUUCCGGCGCACAAUCCGUGUGGGCAUCCAGCGCCAGGUUUGAUCAGGUUAAUGUGAACCUGGGCCUCACUUGUCAGGCCUGUUCUUACGGAUAAUUUGUCUCUGGUCAUUUGCUAUCUUAUGACCAUCUCUUCCUGCUGGAUCCAAAUGAUAUGUCCUGGUCCUCGGUAACUUUAGCCUCUACCAGGUACCAGCCAACUCGGGGAAAUAGCCUUCAACAAUUUCUUCCCUGUCUUUGGAUUUUUUUUUUUUUAAACCUGCUCUCUUGGACACUCCCAACAGUCUCUAAAGGAGAAGAAUUGGAACAUGGGGCAAGAAGUACUCAUGGUUAAGCAGUCUUGGCCAAAGAUGGAUGAUCUGUAUGAAGGCUUUGCUGUCCUGGAUCCAAGGUAUACAAUCAGUUCCCUGGGGGUGGAGAGAGUUUCUGGCAUAAACUCAGUACCUGUGUGCCAGGUAGGGGCUUUCACAGACCCAGGGACUGACUAUGCCUGAACUCCGUUACUCUUGAUAUCAAUCUAAGAAUGAGGAGUUAUUAUGUCAAUUUACUAGAUAGUGAAACUGGGGUACAAGCUACCAAUUAUAGCAAGUAGCACUGUAAAGCUCCAGGGAGCCUUAGCUUACUGGGGACCCCCAGAGUAAACCACGUGGAACCGGGAUCUAUGCAAAAAGCAAGAGGAAUUUAUUAUUCCAGUGCACUGAGGAGACCUGAAGGAGAGGCGGAGACCCCCAGCAGUCGUUUGGUGAGUUUUUAUAUGGUUUCCAGGGGCAGAAUAUAGCAUCAGCAACUAGGCACAAUAUGAUUGGUG
Mus musculus (house mouse) is the source of this 878-nucleotide long non-coding RNA. RefSeq annotates it as predicted gene, 21691. NCBI's taxonomy places the organism in Eukaryota, Metazoa, Chordata, Mammalia, Rodentia, Muridae. The transcript has 4 exons. The record is from RefSeq and is a predicted model, not a curated record.